GUGUCCAUUCGAAUCCUCAAUCUCUAUUGUGAACUCUGAUAACUUUUUCCAAUCAAUUGGACACUCCUAGCCCUUUGUAUGUGGCCAACCCUAGCUCACGCUACAGACAAGUGUUGUUGAAUCUGUUUAGUUUUCUCGACUCAUGUUUUGGCAGAUAUUUUGUGUCCAUUCGAAUCCUCAAUAUCUAAUGUGAUGCCUCAUACUGUUUCCACCCAAAUUGAAAAUUUCUAGCCUUGGAUGUGGCCAACCCUAGCUCACGGUACAGACGAGAAUUGUUGAAUCAGUUCAAUUUUUUUGACUCAUGUUUUGGCAGAUCUUUUGUGUCCAUUCGAAUCCUCAAUCUCUAAUGUGAACUCUCAUACUUUUUCCAAUCAAAUUGGACACUCCUAGCCCUGUAUGUGGCCAACCCUAGCUCACGCUACAGACAAGUGUUGUUGAAUCAGUUUAGUUUUCUUGAUUCAUGUUUUGGCAGAUAUUUUGUGUCCAUUCAAAUCCUCAAUAUCUAAUGUGAAGCCUCAUACUUUUUCCAUUCAAAUUGGAAACUUCUAGCGUUUGAUGUGGCC
RNAcentral lists this long non-coding RNA (563 nucleotides) under Prunus persica (peach). Its description in RNAcentral is "long non-coding RNA (PPER_LNC008787)". The record is from RNAcentral. Lineage: Eukaryota; Viridiplantae; Streptophyta; Magnoliopsida; Rosales; Rosaceae.